Non-coding RNA from Triticum urartu, 196 nucleotides. Lineage: Eukaryota; Viridiplantae; Streptophyta; Magnoliopsida; Poales; Poaceae. The record is from Rfam.
AUACCUUUCUCGGCCUUUUGGCUAAGAUCAAGUGUAGUAUCUGUUCUUAUCAGUUUAAUAUCUGAUAUGUGGGCCAUGUGCCCACAACGAUAUUAAAUUUAUUUUUUAUGGGGAAGGGCCCAUCACAGUGGCUUGCUGCUGGGGCCCUUGCGUGUCGCCCAGGUGUUGCACUACUGCCUGGGCUGGCGCACCUCAC